UAAGCGGAGGAAAAGAAACUAACAAGGAUUCCCCCAGUAGCGGCGAGCGAACAGGGAAGAGUCCAGCACCGAACCCCGCAGGCUGCCGCCUGUCGUGGCAUGUGGUGUUUGGGAGGGUCCACUACCCCGACGCCUCGCGCCGAGCCCAAGUCCAACUUGAAUGAGGCCACGGCCCGUAGAGGGUGCCAGGCCCGUAGCGGCCGGUGCGAGCGUCGGCGGGACCUCUCCUUCGAGUCGGGUUGCUUGAGAGUGCAGCUCCAAGUGGGUGGUAAACUCCAUCUGAGACUAAAUAUGACCACGAGACCGAUAGCGAACAAGUACCGUGAGGGAAAGUUGAAAAGAACUUUCAAGAGAGAGUUCAAAAGUACGUGAAACCGUUCUGGGGUAAACGUGAGAAGUCCGAAAGGUCGAACGGGUGAGAUUCACGCCCAUCCGGCCACUGGCCCCCGCCCUCGGCAGAUGGGGCCGGCCGCCCGCGCGGAGCAAUCCGCGGCGGGGUCGUGUCCGGUUGCCUUUCCACUCGCCGCGGGGUGGGGCCGUUCCGGUGUGCGGUGGGCCGCACUUCUCCCCUAGUAGGACGUCGCGACCCGCUGGGUGCCGGCCUACGGCCCGGGUGCGCAGCCUGUCCUUCCGCGGGCCUCGGUUCGCGUCUGUUGGGCAGAGCCCCGGUGUCCUGGCUGGCUGCUCGGCGGUAUAUCUGGAGGAGUCGAUUCGCCCCUUUGGGCGCUCGGGCUCCCGGCAAGCGCGCGCGGUUCUUCCCGGAUGACGGACCUACCUGGCCCGGCCCCGGACCCGCGCCGCUGUUGGCUUGGGAUGCUCUCGGGCGGAAUAAUCGCUCCCGUCAGCGGCGCUUCAGCUUUGGACAAUUUCACGACCCGUCUUGAAACACGGACCAAGGAGUCUAACAUGUGCGCGAGUCAUUGGGCUGUACGAAACCUAAAGGCGUAAUGAAAGUGAAGGUCUCGCCUUGCGCGGGCCGAGGGAGGAUGGGGCUUCCCCGCCCUUCACGGGGCGGCGGCCUCCGCACUCCCGGGGCGUCUCGUCCUCAUUGCGAGGUGAGGCGCACCUAGAGCGUACACGUUGGGACCCGAAAGAUGGUGAACUAUGCCUGGCCAGGACGAAGUCAGGGGAAACCCUGAUGGAGGUCCGUAGCGAUUCUGACGUGCAAAUCGAUCGUCGGAGCUGGGUAUAGGGGCGAAAGACUAAUCGAACCAUCUAGUAGCUGGUUCCCUCCGAAGUUUCCCUCAGGAUAGCUGGUGCUCGUACGAGUCUCAUCCGGUAAAGCGAAUGAUUAGAGGCCUUGGGGCCGAAACGACCUCAACCUAUUCUCAAACUUUAAAUGGGUGAGAUCUCCGGCUUGCUUGAUAUGCUGAAGCCGCGAGCAAACGACUCGGAUCGGAGUGCCAAGUGGGCCACUUUUGGUAAGCAGAACUGGCGCUGUGGGAUGAACCAAACGCCGAGUUAAGGCGCCCGAAUCGACGCUCAUGGGAAACCAUGAAAGGCGUUGGUUGCUUAAGACAGCAGGACGGUGGCCAUGGAAGUCGGAAUCCGCUAAGGAGUGUGUAACAACUCACCUGCCGAAGCAACUAGCCCUGAAAAUGGAUGGCGCUGAAGCGUCGUGCCUAUACUCGGCCGUCAGUCUGGCAGUCAUGGCCGGUCCUCGUGGCCGGCCGCGAAGCCCUGACGAGUAGGAGGGUCGCGGCGGUGGGCGCAGAAGGGUCUGGGCGUGAGCCUGCCUGGAGCCGCCGUCGGUGCAGAUCUUGGUGGUAGUAGCAAAUACUCCAGCGAGGCCCUGGAGGGCUGACGCGGAGAAGGGUUUCGUGUGAACAGCCGUUGCACACGAGUCAGUCGAUCCUAAGCCCUAGGAGAAAUCCGAUGUUGAUGGGGGCCGUCAUAGCAUGAUGCACUUUGUGCUGGCCCCCGUUGGGCGAAAGGGAAUCCGGUUCCUAUUCCGGAACCCGGCAGCGGAACCGAUACAAGUCGGGCCCCUCUUUUAGAGAUGCUCGUCGGGGUAACCCAAAAGGACCCGGAGACGCCGUCGGGAGAUCGGGGAAGAGUUUUCUUUUCUGCAUGAGCGUUCGAGUUCCCUGGAAUCCUCUAGCAGGGAGAUAGGGUUUGGAACGCGAAGAGCACCGCAGUUGCGGCGGUGUCCCGAUCUUCCCCUCGGACCUUGAAAAUCCGGGAGAGGGCCACGUGGAGGUGUCGCGCCGGUUCGUACCCAUAUCCGCAGCAGGUCUCCAAGGUGAAGAGCCUCUAGUCGAUAGAUAAU
This 2269-nucleotide ribosomal RNA is filed under the name Anacridium sp. BYU-IGC-OR184. RNAcentral's name for it is "eukaryotic LSU rRNA". It matches the Rfam family "Eukaryotic large subunit ribosomal RNA", at positions 47 to 1898 of the family's 3401-position model. Lineage: Eukaryota; Metazoa; Arthropoda; Insecta; Orthoptera; Acrididae. The record is from RNAcentral.